CCUAUAUAACACAAAAUUAUUUAAAUAAAAACUAUAUGUUAUGAAAGUUUUCAAUAUUUAUGAAAUAGGGGUAAUGAGAAAGCACCACUAGCAAGUUUGGUAUGUCACUAUUAUUCAGUUUUGGGCCUAUUAAAUAAUUUAAUACCUUAUUUCUACCACAUGUAUCAACUGGUCCAAAAGUAUUAAAUGCGUAUUUAUAGGACCAAAAGCUGAUUAUAAAUGUUUCACUAUACGCGGCUUUUGUGUGUUUUCGACACAUAUGUUCUAUGGAAAAGUCAGAAACAAUAACUAAGGAAGGUAAGAAGAAAUCUUACUUUGCCUUCGUAUAGAUUAUACACUAUAGUUCAGUUCUGUGCAUACCAUUAAAUAACACCAUUGUGAAGGUUCUAAACAGGGUUAGUAAAUUUUGUACCUUCUAUACAUAACGGGAAUGAUACCGGAUUUGUAGAGAGCAAUUUUCUCGUAGAUCGGCUGAGAAAGAUCGAAAUGGUGGUUGGGAGGGUCGCAUGCACCACCAGGAGGACAAAAGUUAGUGGCAGUGACCACAA
RNAcentral lists this long non-coding RNA (548 nucleotides) under Arabidopsis thaliana (thale cress). RNAcentral's name for it is "long non-coding RNA (ATHA_LNC000141)". Lineage: Eukaryota; Viridiplantae; Streptophyta; Magnoliopsida; Brassicales; Brassicaceae. The record is from RNAcentral.